GAUGAACGCUGGCGGCGUGCCUAAUACAUGCAAGUCGAGCGAACAGACGAGGAGCUUGCUCCUCUGACGUUAGCGGCGGACGGGUGAGUAACGCGUGGAUAACCUACCUAUAAGACUGGGAUAACUUCGGGAAACCGGAGCUAAUACCGGAUAAUAUAUUGAACCGCAUGGUUCAAUAGUGAAAGACGGUUUUGCUGUCACUUAUAGAUGGAUCCGCGCCGCAUUAGCUAGUUGGUAAGGUAACGGCUUACCAAGGCAACGAUGCGUAGCCGACCUGAGAGGGUGAUCGGCCACACUGGAACUGAGACACGGUCCAGACUCCUACGGGAGGCAGCAGUAGGGAAUCUUCCGCAAUGGGCGAAAGCCUGACGGAGCAACGCCGCGUGAGUGAUGAAGGUCUUCGGAUCGUAAAACUCUGUUAUUAGGGAAGAACAAAUGUGUAAGUAACUAUGCACGUCUUGGCGGUACCUAAUCAGAAAGCCACGGCUAACUACGUG
This 497-nucleotide ribosomal RNA is filed under the name uncultured bacterium. RNAcentral's name for it is "partial 16S ribosomal RNA". It matches the Rfam family "Bacterial small subunit ribosomal RNA", at positions 28 to 507 of the family's 1533-position model. The record is from RNAcentral.